RNAcentral lists this ribosomal RNA (254 nucleotides) under uncultured bacterium. Its description in RNAcentral is "partial 16S ribosomal RNA". It matches the Rfam family "Bacterial small subunit ribosomal RNA", at positions 524 to 776 of the family's 1533-position model. The record is from RNAcentral.
UACGUAGGCAGCGAGCGUUGUUCGGAGUUACUGGGCGUAAAGGGUGUGUAGGCGGUUGUUUAAGUUUGGUGUGAAAACUCCAGGCUCAACCUGGAGACGCCACCCGAUACUGCCAUGGCUAGAGUCCGGUAGGGGACCACGGAAUUCCUGGUGUAGCGGUGAAAUGCGCAGAUAUCAGGAGGAACACCGGUGGCGAAGGCGGUGGUCUGGGCCGAUACUGACGCUGAGGAGCGAAAGCGUGGGGAGCGAACAGG